GGUUUUGUGUCUCAGGGUCUGAUUUCGAGCCUGGUUCAUAACCGGCCCUUUGCGAGUAUCAAUAUCUAGUUUUUCUAAGUAACUUUUUUCUAGAAUUUACUCUUAACUUUCUUCUUAAGAUUCUUAUAUCAUUUAUUUUCCCAAUCUACUUUGAUUUGUCUUACUUAUGAUACUACAAAGUAAGUAGAAGUCACCUUUCUAAAAGGCAGCAUUGGUACCUUUUAAUUUUUCUACCCCUUUGGCUAUUAAUUAUAUUUCUAAGAUAAUUUUUUCUAAU
RNAcentral lists this long non-coding RNA (277 nucleotides) under Physcomitrium patens. RNAcentral describes it as "long non-coding RNA (PPAT_LNC006985)". Lineage: Eukaryota; Viridiplantae; Streptophyta; Bryopsida; Funariales; Funariaceae. The record is from RNAcentral.